GAAGUGCUAGCCACAGCGACUUCAGGUAGUCUCGGUCUUAGCGGAGUCCGCGGACUUUCUUGUCCUUCUGCGUAGUGCACUAACUGAGCGACCAAUUGAUAACCUAAGUUUAGCUGAUCUUUUUAUUGAAUUAAUUAAAACUGUUUUGAAAUCUAUUCUGUAAGAGCCUGAGAAAAAUUGCGGCCACAGAAGCUGUUUUGAAAUGCGCUUGGCUUCCGACUUCCGCAAGGGGAGGCAGCUGUUUCUUGUAGACCUGGACUUAAUCUCAGCUGGUGUACAGAGUUCUCUCCAAAAACAAGUGGCCUACUUCACAUUCAGUGAAUUGAUAUAUUCUUAUUUUAAGUUAUCAGGAAAAAAAGUCCUUGGGAAUUGAGAAGCCAAUGAGAUUAGUCGUUCAAGCUGAAGUCAUUCUAUCUGCUAGCUGUCUGGAGCCACUGAAGCUGUGGGCGAACAGCAACAAGUUUAAGCUACAUCUGCACACUCUGCGGUCCAGAGACCAAGAAAGAAGCACAAG
This 514-nucleotide non-coding RNA is filed under the name Pan troglodytes (chimpanzee). Lineage: Eukaryota; Metazoa; Chordata; Mammalia; Primates; Hominidae. The record is from RNAcentral.